This 497-nucleotide ribosomal RNA is filed under the name uncultured bacterium. Its description in RNAcentral is "partial 16S ribosomal RNA". It matches the Rfam family "Bacterial small subunit ribosomal RNA", at positions 28 to 507 of the family's 1533-position model. The record is from RNAcentral.
GAUGAACGCUGGCGGCGUGCCUAAUACAUGCAAGUCGAGCGAACAGACGAGGAGCUUGCUCCUCUGACGUUAGCGGCGGACGGGUGAGUAACACGUGGAUAACCUACCUAUAAGACUGGGAUAACUUCGGGAAACCGGAGCUAAUACCGGAUAAUAUAUUGAACCGCAUGGUUCAAUAGUGAAAGACGGUUUUGCUGUCACUUAUAGAUGGAUCCGCGCCGCAUUAGCUAGUUGGUAAGGUAACGGCUUACCAAGGCGACGAUGCGUAGCCGACCUGAGAGGGUGAACCGCCCAACUGGAACUGAGACCCGGUCCCGAACCCCACGGGAGGGCACAGUAGGGAAUCUUCCGCCAAGGGGGAAAGCCUGGAGGGGCAACGGCGCGGUAGGGAUUAAAGGCUUCGGAUCGUUAAACUCUGUUAUUAGGGAAGAACAAAUGUGUAAGUAACUAUGCACGUCUUGACGGUACCUAAUCAGAAAGCCACGGCUAACUACGUG